AGCAGGUCAUGGAUGAAUCGUCAAACCUCAACAUUUGUUAUAUGAUAGAUUCAAUCAGCUUAAGUCUAUACGUGACUCUGUGGAAACUCUUUUUCAUCAAUCAUAUUGCUAUGGUCAUAGACUUAAGGAUUCAACCUCUUAAAUUUCAUAAGACUACUCCUUUCUGCUAGGAUCGAUAGAUCCCAUCUUGAUGAACACUCCACUCCUACAGUGGACCAACUAUCGCCAACAUCUACUACAAGGGCUCCUUAAGAUUCAUGUUAAUGUGUCAGUCAAACUCUAGUAGCCUCACUGUGAGUAGUAGUGCCAUCUCAUAUCAAAGGACUAGUCAUAC
RNAcentral lists this long non-coding RNA (334 nucleotides) under Elaeis guineensis (African oil palm). Its description in RNAcentral is "long non-coding RNA (EGUI_LNC037631)". The record is from RNAcentral. Lineage: Eukaryota; Viridiplantae; Streptophyta; Magnoliopsida; Arecales; Arecaceae.